CUACGGGUGGCACCAGUGGGGAAUAUUGCACAAUGGGGGGAACCCUGAUGCAGCAACGCCGCGUGGAGGAUGACGCAUUUCGGUGUGUAAACUCCUUUUAUAUGUCAAGAAAAUGACGGUAGCAUAUGAAUAAGCACCGGCUAACUCCGUGCCAGCAGCCGCGGUAAUACGGAGGGUGCAAGCGUUACUCGGAAUCACUGGGCGUAAAGGACGCGUAGGCGGGUUGGAAAGUCAGGUGUGAAAUCCUACAGCUUAACUGUAGAACUGCACUUGAAACUUCUAAUCUAGAGUAUGGGAGGGGGAGACGGAAUUAGUGGUGUAGGGGUAAAAUCCGUAGAUAUCACUAGGAAUACCUAAAGCGAAGGCGAUCUCCUGGAACAUUACUGACGCUAAGGCGUGAAAGCGUGGGGAGCAAACAGGAUUAGAUACCCCUGUAGUC
RNAcentral lists this ribosomal RNA (439 nucleotides) under uncultured bacterium. RNAcentral's name for it is "partial 16S ribosomal RNA". It matches the Rfam family "Bacterial small subunit ribosomal RNA", at positions 339 to 795 of the family's 1533-position model. The record is from RNAcentral.